GAGGGACUAGAUUUCAGCUUAUUGGCAGGGUUCAAGUCACCAAAGCAGAUUUUAUGUAUCUGAAACAUUGGAGUCAAGCCAGAGAUUCUAAAACGUGUUGGAGA
Molecule: long non-coding RNA, 104 nt
Organism: Zea mays
Lineage: Eukaryota; Viridiplantae; Streptophyta; Magnoliopsida; Poales; Poaceae
Exons: 2
Source: RefSeq, a predicted model, not a curated record